UUUUGAAUAAAUUAUUCUAUCAUAUAAAUUAAUUACUCAUCCAAGUCAAAGUAUAUCCAGCCAAAACUACUAAUCGACAAAUUGCAACUGUAAGAUAUGAAUAAUAUCACUCUCAACUGAAACUAUUCUUGCCCACUUGUUUUACAACAUCAACAUCUCAGCCAAUGAUCCUAGAAAGAAAUACGGGAGAAAGUACAUGCCAAGUCAAAGUAUAUCCAGCCAAAACUACUAAUCGACAAAUUACAACUGUAAGAUAUGAAUAAUAUCACUCUCAACUGAAACUAUUCUUGCCCACUUGUUUUACAACAUCAACAUCUCAGCCAAUGAUCCUAGAAAGAAAUACGGGAGAAAGUGCAUGCCAAUUCUCAGUUUCAUAUAUUCACUGCUCUCUCUAUAUAGAGAGAGAAAGAGAUACAUAGAGAGAGAGGUGACUCGAUUAAUGCUGAACCGAAAGGCAUGCCAAUUCUCAGUUUCAUAUCUUUCCUUCUGGAAGAAUUACUUUACAGGCUGUGAUGGUAGCUGCAAUUUCAUUCAAGAUUUACAGAGAAGUGCGAUUUACAUCACCUCGAAUCAUGCUUCUGGAUUUGAGAUUAAUAGAUUCAGCCUUCUCCAGAGCCAAAAACAUGUUGUUCCUUCCUGUUGGCAAGCAUUGAUCGGUCGAAUCCUGGGGCAAGCCAGUGUGGAGAAGAGCUGUCAAUUUGUCAUCUCACUAAAUAGGGCUCUGAAUCGUUUAUUUUGGCGGUAUUUACAGCCUUCUCACUAGACAAACUGCCCAUUGCUUUGAUACAAUCACCG
RNAcentral lists this long non-coding RNA (795 nucleotides) under Triticum aestivum (bread wheat). RNAcentral describes it as "long non-coding RNA (TAES_LNC025597)". Lineage: Eukaryota; Viridiplantae; Streptophyta; Magnoliopsida; Poales; Poaceae. The record is from RNAcentral.